This 200-nucleotide ribosomal RNA is filed under the name uncultured bacterium. Its description in RNAcentral is "partial 16S ribosomal RNA". It matches the Rfam family "Bacterial small subunit ribosomal RNA", at positions 29 to 241 of the family's 1533-position model. The record is from RNAcentral.
AACGAACGCUGGCGGCAGGCUUAACACGUGCAAGUCGAGCGCCCCGCAAGGGGAGCGGCAGACGGGUGAGUAACGCGUAUGCAAUCUACCUUUUACAGAGGGAUAGCCCAGAGAAAUUUGGAUUAAUACCUCAUAGUAUAACAUGACCGCAUGGUCGAGUUAUUAAAGUCACAACGGUAAAAGAUGAGCAUGCGUCCCAU